Molecule: transfer RNA, 59 nt
Filed under: Apaloderma vittatum (bar-tailed trogon)
Lineage: Eukaryota; Metazoa; Chordata; Aves; Trogoniformes; Trogonidae
Rfam family: tRNA
About the family: Transfer RNA (tRNA) molecules are approximately 80 nucleotides in length.
Source: Rfam by way of RNAcentral
UAGCUCAAUUGGCUAGAGCGUGGUGCUGGUAACACCAAGGCCGCAGGUUCGAUUCCUGU